AUGGAGUGGAGGGUGCCUGAGGCAACCAAGGAGUUGGACUCCCUUGGAGACGUCUCCGGCAUGCUCAUCGACGACUACUACAACAACAUGAAGAAGAAAAUCACCGACGACGAGCACAAGCGCUGGGCCACCCUGCCUCUAUCCAUGAGGCACAUCGAGUAUGCGGCAAAGGAUGCCUAUGCAGCGAUGGCGCCCGUAGCGGACACAUGCGUGUACACAGAAGGUCUGGAGCUCACCAACGCCGAGUGGCGCAGCAUGCUCGGGUGCCUGAUGAUACCCAACAGUGGGUUUCGGCCGCCAUUUCUUCAUCGCCUCACAACCGUAGAUCUGCAGGAAAGUUGGAAACUGCCAUCCACAAUAAAAUUUCAUGCUCCGAGUUCAGGGAAGAUUACUUUGGAGACAGAACACAAGAAUGGGUAUGCAGACACGCAAGCUGACUACCACAUCGACUCUGAAGACUGCAUCAACAUAACUACUGGUUGGAAAGAUUUUGUCUCCCAGAAUGGCUUUGACGUCGGAGAAGUGGCCAUGGUGUUUUUCUACAAAGCAGAAGACUCCCUCAAGUUUAAAAUAUUUGCACUCUAG
RNAcentral lists this ribosomal RNA (585 nucleotides) under Triticum aestivum (bread wheat). RNAcentral's name for it is "partial small subunit ribosomal RNA". The record is from RNAcentral. Lineage: Eukaryota; Viridiplantae; Streptophyta; Magnoliopsida; Poales; Poaceae.